RNAcentral lists this ribosomal RNA (433 nucleotides) under uncultured bacterium. Its description in RNAcentral is "partial 16S ribosomal RNA". It matches the Rfam family "Bacterial small subunit ribosomal RNA", at positions 29 to 507 of the family's 1533-position model. The record is from RNAcentral.
AACGAACGCUGGCGGUAUGCCUAACACAUGCAAGUCGAACGAGACCUUCGGGUCUAGUGGCGCACGGGUGCGUAACGCGUGGGAACCUGCACUUAGGCUCGGAAUAAUUCUUUGACAGGGGUGCUAACACAGGAUAAUGUCCUCUGACCCAACAUUCGUCGUAUUUGGAUGGGCCCGCGUUGGUUUAGCUGGUUGGUAGGGUAAAAGCCUACCAAGGCUUCGAUCCAUAGCUGGUCUGAGAGGAAGAGCAGCCACACUGGGGCUAGGACACGGCCGAGACUCCUACACGAGGCAGCAGUGGGGGAUAUUGGACAAUGGGCGGAGGCCUGAACCAGCAAGGCCUCGUAAGUGAUGAAGUCGUUAAAGUUGUAAAGCACUUUUACCCGGGGUGAUUAUGACGGUACCGAAAGAAUAAGCUCCGGCUAACUCCGUG